AUGGCAGCUCUCAGCCACCUGCUUGACAACAAGGCCCAGGGUGUUGGGUUCGUUGCCAUGGCCGACGCUCACAGGGGCAAGUGGUAUGCCGUGUUCGUCGGUAAGGUCUCAGGGGUUUAUAGUUCAUGGGAAGAGGCCAGUGCACAAGUGGCAUCUUAUAGCAACAACACCCAUAGAGGGUUCAAAACUAGGCAUGCAGCAGAACAAGCUUACUCCGACUGGGUGCGAACGCACGGCAGCAGUCACAAGGUUGGAGGUGUCAAGGUGGAUCGUCAGUUUGGGCUGAAGCUGAAGAACUUCAUCAUGUUCCCCCAGUUCAUCGCCAUUGCUGUGUUGUGGCAUUGGUGUGCUAGGUGUGUGUAA
RNAcentral lists this ribosomal RNA (363 nucleotides) under Triticum aestivum (bread wheat). RNAcentral describes it as "partial small subunit ribosomal RNA". Lineage: Eukaryota; Viridiplantae; Streptophyta; Magnoliopsida; Poales; Poaceae. The record is from RNAcentral.